CCGGCUUCUCCUCAUCUGCAGGGAAGUUGUUGCUACGAAAACGUCAGAAGCGUACCGAUUUAUGAGAACCAGCUGGCUAGAAUCCUGCGUUCUGGAGCCAUCGGGGUUGAGUUCUCUCACCGCCAAGUGCCCUCUUUCCUUUAUUGACUCUGGUAGCUCAGACGGUAAAGAAUCCACCUGCAAUGUCAGAGACCUGGGUUGGGAAGAUCCUCUGGAGAAGGGAAUGGCUACUCACUCCAGUAUUCUUGCCUGGAGAAUCUCAGGGACAGAGGAGCCUGGCAGGCUACAGUCCAUGACGUCACAAGGAGUUCAUCAUGACUGAACAACUUUCACUCUCAUUUUCAUUGGCUAUGAUACCCGUGGAUGUGGUUUUCUCUGCAUUUGCCUAGCUUGGUGUGUUUCGAGCAUCUGGAAUGUUGAAGUCUUUAGUUUUUCAAAUAUUUUUCUCCACCUCUCUUCUCUCUCUCCUCUCUUAAUCUGAUCUCAAUUUCAUGUAUGUUUCCCAGUUUCAUAAUAUACCAAGGGGAAUUGAUGCUGUUAAUUUUUUAAAUUUUUUUUAAAUUGAAGGCUAAUUCUUUACAAUACAGCAUUGUUAAUAUUUUA
Long non-coding RNA from Dama dama (fallow deer), 603 nucleotides. RefSeq lists it as uncharacterized. The record is from RefSeq and is a predicted model, not a curated record. The transcript is spliced from 2 exons. NCBI's taxonomy places the organism in Eukaryota, Metazoa, Chordata, Mammalia, Artiodactyla, Cervidae.